GGGGCGCCUUGCGCGCACCGGCGGACGGCUCAGUAACACGUCGGUAACCUACCCUCGGGAGGGGGAUAACCCCGGGAAACUGGGGCUAAUCCCCCAUAGGCCUGAGGUACUGGAAGGUCCUCAGGCCGAAAGGGGCUUUGCCCGCCCGAGGAUGGGCCGGCGGCCGAUUAGGUAGUUGGUGGGGUAACGGCCCACCAAGCCGAAGAUCGGUACGGGCCAUGAGAGUGGGAGCCCGGAGAUGGACACUGAGACACGGGUCCAGGCCCUACGGGGCGCAGCAGGCGCGAAACCUCCGCAAUGCUCGAAAGAGCGACGGGGGGACCCCCAGUGCCGUGGCAUCGCCACGGCUUUUCCGGAGUGUAAAGAGCUCCGGGAAUAAGGGCUGGGCAAGGCCGGUGGCAGCCGCCGCGGUAAUACCGGCGGCCCGAGUGGUGGCCGCUAUUAUUGGGCCUAAAG
RNAcentral lists this ribosomal RNA (456 nucleotides) under Thermococcus sp. Champagne. RNAcentral describes it as "bacterial SSU rRNA". It matches the Rfam family "Archaeal small subunit ribosomal RNA", at positions 62 to 515 of the family's 1478-position model. The record is from RNAcentral. Lineage: Archaea; Methanobacteriati; Methanobacteriota; Thermococci; Thermococcales; Thermococcaceae.